RNAcentral lists this long non-coding RNA (771 nucleotides) under Pan troglodytes (chimpanzee). RNAcentral's name for it is "lincRNA". The record is from RNAcentral. Lineage: Eukaryota; Metazoa; Chordata; Mammalia; Primates; Hominidae.
GGUUGCUGCCAGACUGGUCGAAAAAUACAACCACAGCUUUUUGAGAACAAGGACCUUAUUGGCCUCUCUGGCACAAGCAAGCUGCCCCAGGAAUGUGGGCCACCAUCUCCAUAGCUGCUUUCUGAACUGGGGAUUGAGAGGUGGCGAUCACAGGGCACGCCCUAAGAAACCUGCACACUAACCUCCCUCUCAGACACUGCUUCUGGAGAGCCCAACCUGUGACCGCUGGGUCAGGAGAGGUCUGAGGAAGAAGAUGCUAAGAUGGGAUUCUGGCUCUGGAUCACCCACUGCCUAGCUGCUGAUAAGGACCCUUUUGCUGGGGGUAGAUGGAGCGGGUACAUGCCCCCGCACAGAGCAGAGGAUGCCAAGACAGGAGGAUUGCUUGAUGCCAAGACAGGAGGAUUGCUUGAGGCCAAGUAUUCAAGACCAGCCUGGGCAACACAGACAUUGCAACAUCCCUGUCUUUACCAAAAAGGAAAAAAUUAGCCAGCCAUGGUGGCAUGCACCUAUGGGCCUAGUUACUCAAGAGGCUGAUGUGGGAAGAUAGCUUGAGCCCAGGAGUUCAAGGUUACAGUGAGCUAUGAUCGCAUCACUGCACUCCAGCCUGGGUGACAGAAUAAGACCACGUCUCAAAAAACAAAGAAACAAACAAACCAGCCUGGGACCUCCUCCCUGCUUUGCUUCCUCUUCAGCAUGUGUGAUCUCUUUGCACAUGCCGAUUCCCCUUUCACAUUCCACCUUGAGCUGAAGCAGCCUGAGACCCUCACCAGA